Molecule: long non-coding RNA, 1185 nt
Organism: Varanus komodoensis (Komodo dragon)
Lineage: Eukaryota; Metazoa; Chordata; Lepidosauria; Squamata; Varanidae
Exons: 4
Source: RefSeq, a predicted model, not a curated record
GGAUGGCAUUAUUGUCAGGGAUCGUAUACACACCCCUUCAAUAUGCACUUCAUGUGAAGGCUGUUGGGUCUGAACUUGCUGUUCACGCUGCCCCCUCUGAAGAGGUCGACUUCUUACAGGGUCAUCUGAUCUUGCAGCUGCUGUCUCUGCCAGCAUGCAGGCAGUGAGAACUGCGACAGAGGGGUGAUUUCAGUGUUUGAGGCACCCUGUAAGGCCAUGUCCUCUGACCUGCAAGGUCCUGCAGUAGAAGAUGAUGGAUCUCUGGAUGAAACGUCUUCCUCUUUGCAGUCCUCCUCUGAGCCAGGGGCAGGAGAGAAGAUCAAAGCCAGGGAGGGGUCCAGAAUUAAGUCCAUGAAAUUCCUAGUUCAAGCUGCAAGGAAUCAGAUAGCAAUGUAGCCUUCAACGGAAGCCAAGUCUUCAUACCAGUGAAACUGACAGCUUAUUCGGCAUAUCAAGAAGUCCCCGUGGAACAGCCCCUGCACCCUGAAGGUCAAGGGAUGCAAUAGGAAAAGAAGCCCCCAGAGUGUGGUACAGAACGGCAAUCUGCAAAGCAGAGGACUUACCUCCCAAGGAAAGAGUGACUGCACAUUCCAGUGCAUAUCUACGCAGAAGUAAAUUGCACUGCAUUGACUAAAGCUUAGCCCAAGCCUCCAGAUCUGUCUCUGCUUCUGCUCUGGAAAAGCUCUGUGGUAGGAAUAGCUUCAUGGAGUCUUCCCUAGAGCUUCAACCAAAGUAUGAGAAGAUGAAUACACUACAGGCUGUCAGAGGGAUGAUUGUACAAUGAAAAAGAGGACACUUGUGCACGAUCCUUGGUCACCUCACAAGUAAACAUAAAAUUCUCAAAGGCAACCCAUGAACAUUUUCUCUGAAUUUUUUCUCUCUUUUGAAUUUCUUUUUGAAAGCUGAUUCUUUUCCAUCAAGCGGCAUGAGAAAAGUAAGAACAAUAAUGCAGGAGAGAUGUUUAAUACAACACCAGUGGUCUAAAAUGUAAUCAUACAGAACAGGAAAUUUAAUUCUCUUCUGUCACAGUAUUUGUUGUGUCAUUCGUACUCUGCUUAUUUUCAUACAGCGUAUCCUAAUGUACUUUACCUCAUCUUUAUCUGACAUGAUAAACUGUCCUGAGGCAAUCUUCCUUUGAGGUUGCAGGUGCUUGUGCAUUUCAAUACAGAAUAAUUUUGUGAAGUC